Molecule: unclassified non-coding RNA, 348 nt
Filed under: soil metagenome
Description: partial contains 5.8S ribosomal RNA, internal transcribed spacer 2, and large subunit ribosomal RNA
Rfam family: 5.8S ribosomal RNA (bases 1-120)
Source: RNAcentral
GAUGAAGAACGCAGUGAAAUGCGAUAAGUAGUGUGAAUUGCAGAAUUCAGUGAAUCAUCGAAUCUUUGAACGCACAUUGCGCCCGCCAGUAUUCUGGCGGGCAUGCCUGUCUGAGCGUCAUUUCAACCCUCAUGCCCCUAGGGCGUGGUGUUGGGGAUCGGCCAAAGCCCGCGAGGGACGGCCGGCCCCUAAAUCUAGUGGCGGACCCGUCGUGGCCUCCUCUGCGAAGUAGUGAUAUUCCGCAUCGGAGAGCGAUGAGCCCCUGCCGUUAAACCCCCAACUUUCCAAGGUUGACCUCAGAUCAGGUAGGAAUACCCGCUGAACUUAAGCAUAUCAAUAAGCGGAGGA